UUUUCUCCAUUCUUGAGCUUUGCCAUGUCAAAUAACACUUGUUCCAACAUGAAUGAAGUGUAUCCAACUCUCUCCCACCUCCAAAUCCAUAAAAUCAAGCACAGUUGACCACAAUUGACUUUUUCAACUGAUAGAUGAAUUUGGCAAUGCACUGAUCAAUCUGAGCCCCAAUUCUCUGAUGAAAUGGCUCAAGGAUGAAACCCU
Molecule: long non-coding RNA, 204 nt
Filed under: Lathyrus oleraceus (garden pea)
Lineage: Eukaryota; Viridiplantae; Streptophyta; Magnoliopsida; Fabales; Fabaceae
Description: Pisum sativum (pea) long non-coding RNA (PSAT_LNC016658)
Source: RNAcentral